UCCCAGGUGGUGUAAUGGUAACACAGCGGACUUUGAAUCCGCUAUUCCUGGUUCGAGUCCAGGCCUGGGAACCA
This 74-nucleotide transfer RNA is filed under the name Elusimicrobiota bacterium. RNAcentral's name for it is "tRNA-Gln". It matches the Rfam family "tRNA". Rfam says of the family: Transfer RNA (tRNA) molecules are approximately 80 nucleotides in length. Their secondary structure includes four short double-helical elements and three loops (D, anti-codon, and T loops). Further hydrogen bonds mediate the characteristic L-shaped molecular structure. tRNAs have two regions of fundamental functional importance: the anti-codon, which is responsible for specific mRNA codon recognition, and the 3' end, to which the tRNAs corresponding amino acid is attached (by aminoacyl-tRNA synthetases). tRNAs cope with the degeneracy of the genetic code in two manners: having more than one tRNA (with a specific anti-codon) for a particular amino acid; and 'wobble' base-pairing, i.e. permitting non-standard base-pairing at the 3rd anti-codon position. The record is from RNAcentral. RNAcentral also lists the same sequence under 1 other name. Lineage: Bacteria; Pseudomonadati; Elusimicrobiota.